Long non-coding RNA from Betta splendens (Siamese fighting fish), 2055 nucleotides. RefSeq lists it as uncharacterized. The record is from RefSeq and is a predicted model, not a curated record. Lineage: Eukaryota; Metazoa; Chordata; Actinopteri; Anabantiformes; Osphronemidae. The transcript is spliced from 2 exons.
UACCAUCUACACAGACUCACAGACGCUCUGUGGAAGCAUGGGAAGCUUUGAAGUCUGAUUGCAAACCUAUCUUACAUCAUGAUAAGGUUCUGCUUUGCUGGACGCUGUCCUGCUGCCUACAGCUAAUGCUGUUUGUAACUGUCCAACAUCAGUGACGACUUUGUUUCUGCCGACAUGCAGCUGCAGACGCUGCUGCGAAGGUCGCUGCCCAACAACCCCUCCCUCUCCUGAUCCUCGUUUCCUCUCCUGAUCCUUGUUCCCUCUCCAACUCUCUCUAUCCUUUCCUUCCUCAUCUCCCUGUGCUUUAAACAUUUUGUACCUCACAGGAACGCAGACUCUGGCUGACGAAUGGUUCCACCUGUAGCCAUGGAGUCUGGUUUGGGCCUGAUGGAAGCAGUGCCGCCCAAACACCUUUUUCCCCACAAUUCAGAUUUCCCAACAGGUGAAAACAGGCGACAGGACCACUACACCAUCCAACCAGGGCACGGGUGAUCGUUAAGGAGUUCAGGAGGAAGCACUGGGACUCCAAACGGUGGCGAGGCCCCUUCCAGGUCCUUCUGACGACCCACACGGCUGAAAGAUCGCAGUGAGAGUGACUUGGAUCCACUCCAUCCACUGCAGGAAGGUCCCAGAUCCAACAGACGACCCUCCAUCUACAUCUACGCCACACGAGAAAGCCACCACUGACGAAAAGAACUGAGAAGGACGACCCUCGCUGUGCUCACACACGCACUGAGGCGAGGCUGUGUUGACCGUUCAGCUAAAGGUGUGAGCCAAGCGCCGCCUGAAGCUGCGCCGGUGAAUCACACUAUCAGACCAACAUCUACACACACGCUCCUGAGAAAACACACACACGAGCAGCCUUGAGUUGCCGACGCUGGACGACGUGUAGACUCUUCACAUCACGGGAGUGACAGUGACUCAGACGACAUUGGGAGGAAACCUGGCGGUGAUAACGAACCCCAAGUGUCUCUGUGAUCAGCUGAUCACAACCGAAGAACCCCAACGAACUGUCAAUACUUCAACACACAGAUGAAAGACAACAGAAGCGGAAAUAUGCAUCAUCAUUCUGGUUAAAUCCCUGAAUCUCCUAUUCGCUCUAGACGCAAAUGUACAAUUAAAGAUCCGAAAGCAUGAAAUCUAUCUUAAGAUUAUAUGAUACAGAACCCCACCGGAAACCUAUGGCUAUCAUACAUUAAUUAUCUUUAUUACAUUACAAUUGAAUGGCCGUAGACACGUUGUUAGCAGAGAAAAAAGGCGGUUGUGUUAUGUUUGGAGACGCAUGUUGUACUUACAUCCUGAAUAACACUGAUUCCAAUGGUAUUGUGGCGAAGGCGCUCCACGGCCUUCAGAAUCUCAGCUAACUCUGGUAUAGGUUCUUCCUCUUGGAAAUUGGCUAGACGAAAUGUCUGGAAAAUGGAAAUCUGUUCUCAUGUCCACAGCUGUUUCCUUUAUAAUUGAGAUGGCUGUGAUUCUCUUGUUUGGUUUUUGCGUUAUCCCACUGGUUAGAGGUCUCAUCAUGCGUGCGACCUCAGCAACACUCUCGUAUGAGAUGACACAAUGCACUAUGUUCCAAAACCCCAACUCUAAUUUACUUAAUGACUUUGACGAUGAUCUUAGGCUAUCUGAUCACAAAAUAUAAUCUGAUACAAAUAUGAUUAUUGACUUAUUUUCUUCACAUGCUCAUACAGAGGUUAUUCUUGUUUAACUACCCACCAAAAACAGCUCCCAACCUUUUGUCCCUUAGUUACUUCCAUUUUAUGUGAAGGUGUAUUUUGAAUCUUGAUGAGUUAAUACCCUUAUUGUUUCAUUUGCAAGGAUCUUUUAUUAUUACAGAAUGUGAUGUUGACAAUUUUUCUUCUUAGUGGUUGAUUAAUGUGUAAUCAAAAGGGGGGAGUGUUAUGGCAAAAAUUGUCUCUUCCUUAUUUCUAUGUCUCUUCCUUAUUUCUAUGCAGUUAUUAUACGAGUUAUGACUUAUGUUCUGCAAUUAAUAUCUUAUGUUUUGUCUUACUGUAUGCAUUUGACAUUUCACCUAGAUUGUUCAAUGGUUGUCUC